GGGUCCGUGGUCUAGCUGGUUAGGACGUCGCCCUGACGUGGCGAAGGUCGCCGGUUCGAAUCCGGCCGGACCCA
Molecule: transfer RNA, 74 nt
Filed under: Pseudomonadota bacterium
Lineage: Bacteria; Pseudomonadati; Pseudomonadota
Also listed under: 1 other name
Description: tRNA-Val
Rfam family: tRNA
About the family: Transfer RNA (tRNA) molecules are approximately 80 nucleotides in length. Their secondary structure includes four short double-helical elements and three loops (D, anti-codon, and T loops).
Source: RNAcentral